Molecule: long non-coding RNA, 1108 nt
Filed under: Fukomys damarensis (Damara mole-rat)
Lineage: Eukaryota; Metazoa; Chordata; Mammalia; Rodentia; Bathyergidae
Description: lncRNA (ENSFDAG00000030991.1)
Source: RNAcentral
AGAUGAGCUAACCUAGAGGAGGGAGAAGAGAAGCAAGGCCUGGACAUCAAGGCUUACUCCAAGCUUCAGGCUCACACUGAAUACUCACUAAAGAAUCUUUCCUUAGUAGUCUUCACCAACCAGAAUUUGAGAAAGACAUAAUCUAGAGAUUGGUGAAUGUCUUUCCUAUCUUGCUUCCAAAAUAUCGAGGUGUCCAGAGGAUCCCUUGGGCUGCAGCUAAACUAGUGUGCCUCUGAACCAACUGGUACAGAAAGAUGAAGACUUCAGAAUCACAGAGGGCUGACAUGGAGGGCAGGUGCUCCUGGCUGCUCGUAUGAUGUCCAAAAGAACUAAACCUUCGAAAUGGUAAUAUUGGCAUGUGCAAAAUGGAAAUAAUUACACCAACUUCAGGUUUGUUGUUACUAUUAAUGAACAUAAACAUCAAUUCUCUGAAACAACAUAGUUAUUGUUACUUCUCAUUAUUUUUCCUGAUUUUUAAAUAGCCAUCUAGUUUUCCCUCAUUGCCUUUCUACUUGGCUGCUAUUUAUUGAAUACUUAUUGAAUGUCAUGUAAAGCUGAGUGUUUCACAAGCCUCUUUAUUCAUUUCAUCCUCAAACAAGCCUCUAAAUUAAAAAUUGUUAUUAUUCACUUCUGAUCAUGUGGAUUCUGAAGUCUGGAGAGCCAAGUGACAUGUUCAAGAUCAGAGUUCUUAGAAGAGGAGCAAAUUCAAGCUUUCCCUGGAGAGUCCAGCUCAUUACUGUACAUCAGUCUGCACUGGAUAAAAUCAGUAGGUAAUAUAACCUGAAUUGCAAAGGACAAAAAUGAAGAAAGACAGCAUUGAAGCUCCAGAACAACACAUGCUUGUGAAAGUAUUCCAAAUAAUUGUGAUGCCUACUGAGAUUGAAGACCACUGAUUUAGGUUAUAAAUAGUACUUCCUCAGCAUGGACUGAAUGCUCUUAAAUUUAACUGUUUACUUGUAUCCUCCAUUGUUCUGCAAUUACUCUGCAAGAGCAGGCACCGGUCUCUCAAGUGAUUAUAUUCCCAUUGCCUAAUAUUGGGAGUGACAGGACUAUGGUGAGUGCUCAUAAAUACUUGUUAAGUAUUUCAAUAAAUAAAUGAGUUCAUAAA